RNAcentral lists this ribosomal RNA (441 nucleotides) under uncultured bacterium. RNAcentral describes it as "partial 16S ribosomal RNA". It matches the Rfam family "Bacterial small subunit ribosomal RNA", at positions 338 to 795 of the family's 1533-position model. The record is from RNAcentral.
CCUACGGGUGGCAGCAGUGGGGAAUAUUGCACAAUGGGGGAAACCCUGAUGCAGCAACGCCGCGUGAAGGAAGACGGUUUUCGGAGUGUAAACUUCUGUUCAUAGUGAAGAAGAAUGACGGUAGCUAAGGAGCAAGCCACGGCUAACUACGUGCCAGCAGCCGCGGUAAGACGGAGGUGGCAAGCGUUGUCCGGAAUUACUGGGUGUAAAGGGAGCGCAGGCGGGAAGCCAAGUCAGCGGUGAAAACUACGGGCUUAACUUGUAGACUGCAGUUGAAACUGGUUUUCUUGAGUGAAGUAGAGGUUGGCGGAAUUCCGAGUGUAGCGGUGAAAUGCGUAGAUAUUCGGAGGAACACCGGUGGCGAAGGCGGCCCACUGGGCUUUAACUGACGCUGAGGCUCGAAAGUGUGGGGAGCAAACAGGAUUAGAUACCCCUGUAGUC